GUYUUUUUGUUUAAAAUUUAAAGUCGGGCCUGCCCACUGAAAAUUUAAAUGGCCGUGGUAUUUUGACCGUGCUAAGGUAGCAUAAUCAUUAGUUUUUUAAUUGAAAGCUGGAAUGAAAGGUUUGAUAAAAAAAUAACUGUCUCUAUUUAAUUUUAUUAAAAAUUUAUUUUUAAGUUCAAAAGCUUAAUUUUGAUUAAAAGACGAGAAGACCCUAUAGAGUUUAAUAAUUUAGGAUAACUUGUAUUUUAGAAUUAAUUUAUUUAUUUUUUAAAAUUAUUUAAUUGGGGUGAUUGAAAAAUUUAAUUAACUUUUUUUAUAUUUAACCAUUAAUUUAUGAUAAUUUGAUCCAAUUUUUUUGAUUAUAAGAUAAAAUUACCUUAGGGAUAACAGCGUAAUUUUUUUAGAAAGUUCAAAUUAAAAGAAAAGAUUGCGACCUCGAUGUUGGAUUAAAAUUAAAUUUUGGUGUAGAAGCUAAAAAUUUGAGUCUGUUCGACUUUUAAAAUUUUACA
Molecule: ribosomal RNA, 509 nt
Filed under: Calligrapha diversa
Lineage: Eukaryota; Metazoa; Arthropoda; Insecta; Coleoptera; Chrysomelidae
Description: partial 16S ribosomal RNA
Rfam family: Archaeal large subunit ribosomal RNA (bases 383-509)
Source: RNAcentral